Non-coding RNA from Bos taurus (domestic cattle), 73 nucleotides. The record is from Rfam. NCBI's taxonomy places the organism in Eukaryota, Metazoa, Chordata, Mammalia, Artiodactyla, Bovidae.
UCCCUGGUGGCUCAGAUGGUAAAAGCGUCUGCCUACAAUGCAGGAGAAUGGGGUUCGAUCCUUGGUCUGGGAA